CACUAGCCCUGAUAGAAGCGGCAUCCUUUUAUGGUGGGGUUCACCAUAAAAGAUAUAGCGAAUAGCAGGAAAUAGC
This 76-nucleotide small RNA is filed under the name Flavobacterium saccharophilum. RNAcentral's name for it is "Flavo-1 RNA". It matches the Rfam family "Flavo-1 RNA". Lineage: Bacteria; Pseudomonadati; Bacteroidota; Flavobacteriia; Flavobacteriales; Flavobacteriaceae. The record is from RNAcentral.